Molecule: transfer RNA, 72 nt
Filed under: Bacteroidales bacterium
Lineage: Bacteria; Pseudomonadati; Bacteroidota; Bacteroidia; Bacteroidales
Description: tRNA-Arg
Rfam family: tRNA (bases 6-66)
About the family: Transfer RNA (tRNA) molecules are approximately 80 nucleotides in length. Their secondary structure includes four short double-helical elements and three loops (D, anti-codon, and T loops).
Source: RNAcentral
GGUCCCAUAGUUCAAUGGAUAGAAUUUAAGAUUCCGGUUCUUAAGAUAGAGGUUCGAGUCCUCUUGNNUGAU